GCCCUUGUGGCGGAAUUGGUAGACGCGGCAGACUCAAAAUCUGUUGUAUGUAGAUACGUGGGAGUUCGAGUCUCCCCGAGGGCA
Molecule: transfer RNA, 84 nt
Filed under: Candidatus Odyssella acanthamoebae
Lineage: Bacteria; Pseudomonadati; Pseudomonadota; Alphaproteobacteria; Holosporales; Candidatus Paracaedibacteraceae
Description: endosymbiont of Acanthamoeba sp. UWC9 tRNA
Rfam family: tRNA
About the family: Transfer RNA (tRNA) molecules are approximately 80 nucleotides in length. Their secondary structure includes four short double-helical elements and three loops (D, anti-codon, and T loops).
Source: Rfam by way of RNAcentral